This 465-nucleotide ribosomal RNA is filed under the name Vreelandella stevensii. Its description in RNAcentral is "partial 16S ribosomal RNA". It matches the Rfam family "Bacterial small subunit ribosomal RNA", at positions 338 to 795 of the family's 1533-position model. The record is from RNAcentral. Lineage: Bacteria; Pseudomonadati; Pseudomonadota; Gammaproteobacteria; Oceanospirillales; Halomonadaceae.
CCUACGGGUGGCAGCAGUGGGGAAUAUUGGACAAUGGGCGAAAGCCUGAUCCAGCCAUGCCGCGUGUGUGAAGAAGGCCUUCGGGUUGUAAAGCACUUUCAGUGGGGAAGAAAGCCUUGGGGCUAAUACCCUCGAGGAAGGACAUCACCCACAGAAGAAGCACCGGCUAACUCCGUGCCAGCAGCCGCGGUAAUACGGAGGGUGCGAGCGUUAAUCGGAAUUACUGGGCGUAAAGCGCGCGUAGGCGGUCUGAUAAGCCGGUUGUGAGAGCCCCGGGCUCAACCUGGGAACGGCAUCCGGAACUGUCAGGCUAGAGUGCAGGAGAGGAAGGUAGAAUUCCCGGUGUAGCGGUGAAAUGCGUAGAGAUCGGGAGGAAUACCAGUGGCGAAGGCGGCCUUCUGGACUGACACUGACGCUGAGGUGCGAAAGCGUGGGUAGCAAACAGGAUUAGAUACCCCAGUAGUC